GAGCCAGUGGCUCAAAGGUUAGAGCGUUGGACUUAUGAUCAAGAGUUCUUGAGUUCGAGCCUCAGGUGGAGCA
RNAcentral lists this transfer RNA (73 nucleotides) under Schistocephalus solidus. It matches the Rfam family "tRNA". Rfam says of the family: Transfer RNA (tRNA) molecules are approximately 80 nucleotides in length. Lineage: Eukaryota; Metazoa; Platyhelminthes; Cestoda; Diphyllobothriidea; Diphyllobothriidae. The record is from Rfam by way of RNAcentral.